UUUUUUUUUUUUUUUUUUUGGUGUCUUGACAUACUUGAUUUGUGGAAGUUCAUACAAUGUAGCUCCAAUUGCAGCUGCAAUCAUUACAUCCAAAGAAUAGGAAUUGAACUUGUUGUGCAAUCACUGCUACUUGAUUUACUGUCAUUGGUACUCUUAGCUUGAAGCAGAAUCUUGGGUGUCCUUUCUGCAUAUUAUUUGAUAUUUGGCAAACUAUAUUAUCCUUACCUGAGGAGUAGGUUAAUAACGUGUAAUCUAUAUUGCUAGUCAAAGAGUUUGAGUUGCAUGAGGAUAAGUGUAACUUUUCGUUCCACAUCAGCAAAAAACAAGAAAAAUGAACAGCUUGUAAAGUUUAAGGCCACCAAACCAAAAUGGCUUAGGUCAAUUGGGCGGAGGUGUGCCAAAUCCGGCCCAUAUGCUGCAGCAGCUGGCUUGUUUGUGUUCCAACCCCCUUGGGCCUAGACAGAAAAAUCUAAUGCUUUUUGUUUUUUAAUUUAUUUAUUUUUCCUCUCUCCCUUCAGGUGUGGCAAUGUCAACUGGGCAAA
This 542-nucleotide unclassified non-coding RNA is filed under the name Hevea brasiliensis (rubber tree). The record is from RNAcentral. Lineage: Eukaryota; Viridiplantae; Streptophyta; Magnoliopsida; Malpighiales; Euphorbiaceae.